RNAcentral lists this microRNA precursor (89 nucleotides) under Jaculus jaculus (lesser Egyptian jerboa). RNAcentral describes it as "miRNA (ENSJJAG00000005995.1)". Lineage: Eukaryota; Metazoa; Chordata; Mammalia; Rodentia; Dipodidae. The record is from RNAcentral.
UAUAUUAUGUGUGUGCAUGUGCAUGUGUGCACAUGCAUGCACAUAUGUACUAUUGUCUAUAAACAUAUAUUGUCAUUUCACUGCAUAGA